GCUUAACGCGAAGAACCUUACCCAGGCUUGACAUCCUGUUAAUCACUCCGAAAGGAGAGAGUGCCUUCGGGCCGCAGUGACAGGUGAUGCAUGGCCGUCGUCAGCUCGUGUCGUGAGAUGUUUGGUUAAGUCCAUCAACGAGCGCAACCCUUAUGAGUAGUUGUAUUUCUCUACUCAGACUGCCCUGGUAACAGGGAGGAAGGAGGGGAUGAUGUCAGGUCAGUAUCUCCCUUACGUCUGGGGCUACAAACACGCUACAAUGGCCGGUACAAAGGGCAGCCAACCCGCGAGGGGGAGCAAAUCCCAUCAAAGCCGGUCUCAGUUCGGAUUGUAGGCUGAAACUCGCCUGCAUGAAGCUGGAAUCGCUAGUAAUGGUAGGUCAGCACACUACCGUGAAUACGUUCCCGGGUCUUGUACACACCG
Molecule: ribosomal RNA, 423 nt
Filed under: uncultured bacterium
Lineage: Bacteria
Description: bacterial SSU rRNA
Rfam family: Bacterial small subunit ribosomal RNA
Source: RNAcentral